UCCGUUGGUGAACCAGCGGAAGGAUCAUUACAGAGAUCAUGCCCUUCGGGGUAGACCUCCCACCCUGUGUUAUUUACUCUUGUUGCUUUGGCAGGCCGCCUUCGGGCUCCCGGCUCCGGCUGGGGCGCGCCUGCCAGAGGACCCCAUAUUCUAAAUGUUUACAUGUCGUCUGAGAAAUAUAUAAUAAGUUAAAACUUUCAACAACGGACCUCUUGGUUCUGGCAUCGAUGAAGAACGCAGCGAAAUGCGAUAAGUAAUGUGAAUUGCAGAAUUCAGUGAAUCAUCGAAUCUUUGAACGCACAUUGCGCCCCUUGGUAUUCCGGGGGGCAUGCCUGUUCGAGCGUCAUUUCAACCCUCAAGCACAGCUUGGUCUUGGGCCCUGCCGGCAACGGCUGGGCCUUAAAAACAGUGGCGGCGCCAUCGAGCUCUACGCGUAGUAAUUAUACCCUCGCGUGUGAGUCCCGGUGGAUGCUGGCCAGCAACCCCCAAUUUUCUAUGGUUGACCUCGAAUCAGGUAGGGAUACCCGCUGAACUUAAGCAUAUCAAUAAGCGGAGGAAAAGAAACCAACAGGGAUUACCUCAGUAACGGCGAGUGAAGCGGUAACAGCUCAAAUUUGAAAUCUGGCUCUUUCAGGGUCCGAGUUGUAAUUUGUAGAAGAUGCUUCGGGUGUGGCUCCGGUCUAAGUUCCUUGGAACAGGACGUCAUAGAGGGUGAGAAUCCCGUAUGUGACUGGCUGCCUCCGCCCAUGUGAAGCUCUUUCGACGAGUCGAGUUGUUUGGGAAUGCAGCUCAAAAUGGGUGGUAAAUUUCAUCUAAAGCUAAAUAUUGGCCAGAGACCGAUAGCGCACAAGUAGAGUGAUCGAAAGAUGAAAAGCACUUUGGAAAGAGAGUUAAACAGUACGUGAAAUUGUUGAAAGGGAAGCGCUUGCAAUCAGACUUGCACGCUGUUGAUCAUCGGAGGUUCUCCCCCGUGCACUCGGCAGCGUUCAGGCCAGCAUCGGUUUGGGUGGUUAGAUAAAGGCCUUGGGAAUGUAGCUUCUUUCGGGGAGUGUUAUAGCCCUUGGUGCAAUGUAGCCUACCUGGACCGAGGACCGCGCCUCGGCUAGGAUGCUGGCGUAAUGGUUGUAAGCGACC
This 1134-nucleotide ribosomal RNA is filed under the name uncultured Helotiales. RNAcentral describes it as "eukaryotic LSU rRNA". The stretch from base 501 to 1134 matches the Rfam family "Eukaryotic large subunit ribosomal RNA", at positions 1 to 649 of the family's 3401-position model. Lineage: Eukaryota; Fungi; Ascomycota; Leotiomycetes; Helotiales. The record is from RNAcentral.